Molecule: ribosomal RNA, 450 nt
Filed under: uncultured bacterium
Lineage: Bacteria
Description: partial 16S ribosomal RNA
Rfam family: Bacterial small subunit ribosomal RNA
Source: RNAcentral
GUGGGGAAUAUUGGACAAUGGGCGAAAGCCCGAUCCAGCCAUGCCGCGUGUGUGAAGAAGGUCUUCGGAUUGUAAAGCACUUUAAGUUGGGAGGAAGGGCAGUAAGUUAAUACCUUGCUGUUUUGACGUUACCGACAGAAUAAGCACCGGCUAACUUCGUGCCAGCAGCCGCGGUAAUACGAAGGGUGCAAGCGUUAAUCGGAAUUACUGGGCGUAAAGCGCGCGUAGGUGGUUUUGUAAGUUGGAGGUGAAAUCCCCGGGCUCAACCUGGGAACUGCCUCCAAAACUGCAUGACUAGAGUACGGUAGAGGGUAGUGGAAUUUCCUGUGUAGCGGUGAAAUGCGUAGAUAUAGGAAGGAACACCAGUGGCGAAGGCGACUACCUGGACUGAUACUGACACUGAGGUGCGAAAGCGUGGGGAGCAAACAGGAUUAGAAACCCGGGUAGUCC